CGGCGCACGGGUGCGGAACACGUGUGCAACCUGCCUUUAUCUGGGGGAUAGCCUUUCGAAAGGAAGAUUAAUACCCCAUAAUAUGUUGAAUGGCAUCAUUCGAUAUUGAAAACUCCGGUGGAUAGAGAUGGGCACGCGCAAGAUUAGAUAGUUGGUGAGGUAACGGCUCACCAAGUCAGCGAUCUUUAGGGGGCCUGAGAGGGUGAUCCCCCACACUGGUACUGAGACACGGACCAGACUCCUACGGGAGGCAGCAGUGAGGAAUAUUGGACAAUGGGUGAGAGCCUGAUCCAGCCAUCCCGCGUGAAGGAUGACGGCCCUAUGGGUUGUAAACUUCUUUUGUAUAGGGAUAAACCUACUCUCGUGAGAGUAGCUGAAGGUACUAUACGAAUAAGCACCGGCUAACUCCGUGCCAGCAGCCGCGGUAAUACGGAGGGUGCAAGCGUUAUCCGGAUUUAUUGGGUUUAAAGGGUCCGUAGGCUGAUUUGUAAGUCAGUGGUGAAAUCUCACAGCUUAACUGUGAAACUGCCAUUGAUACUGCAAGUCUUGAGUGUUGUUGAAGUAGCUGGAAUAAGUAGUGUAGCGGUGAAAUGCAUAGAUAUUACUUAGAACACCAAUUGCGAAGGCAGGUUACUAAGCAACAACUGACGCUGAUGGACGAAAGCGUGGGG
Molecule: ribosomal RNA, 671 nt
Filed under: Chryseobacterium sp. B.D-1
Lineage: Bacteria; Pseudomonadati; Bacteroidota; Flavobacteriia; Flavobacteriales; Weeksellaceae
Description: bacterial SSU rRNA
Rfam family: Bacterial small subunit ribosomal RNA
Source: RNAcentral